CAAACAGCUGUAGGGUCAGAUUGGACCCCUGGUUAGACUCCAAACAGCUGUAGGGUCAGAUUGGACCCCCUGGUUAGACUCCAAACAGCUGUAGGGUCAGAUUGGACCCCUGGUUUGACUCCAAACAGCUGUAGGGUCAGAUUGGACCCCCUGGUUUGACUCCAAACAGCUGUAGGGUCAGAUUGGACCCCCUGGUUAGACUCCAAACAGCUGUAGGGUCAGAUUGGACCCCCUGGUUUGACUCCAAACAGCUGUAGGGUCAGAUUGGACCCCCUGGUUAGACUCCAAACAGCUGUAGGGUCAGAUUGGACCCCCUGGUUAGACUCCAAACAGCUGUAGGGUCAGAUUGGACCCCCUGGUUAGACUCCAAACAGCUGUAGGGUCAGAUUGGACCCCCUGGUUUGACUCCAAACAGCUGUAGGGUCAGAUUGGACCCCCUGGUUAGACUCCAAACAGCUGUAGGGUCAGAUUGGACCCCCUGGUUUGACUCCAAACAGCUGUAGGGUCAGAUUGGACCCCCUGGUUAGACCCUAAACCCUGUUUUUCUUCCUUUCUUCUUUCAAUCCUCUGUUUGUUUUGACACUUUGUCUUCGGUCACUGGAUGAUUUAGUCUGCAUCUGAAAUGGCACCCUAUUCCCUAUGUAGGGCUCUGAUCAGAAGUAGUGCACUAUGUAGGGAAUAGGGUGUUAUAGAGCUCUGGCACCCUAUUCCCUAUGUAGGGCUCUGAUCAGAAGUAGUGCACUAUGUAGGGAAUAGGGUGUUAUAGAGCUCUGGCACCCUAUUCCCUAUGUAGGGCUCUGAUCAGAAGUAGUGCACUAUGUAGGGAAUAGGGUGCCACUUGGAACGUAGAUUUACUGUCUGUUGCUUUUUUUUGUUUUUUUUUUGUUUUUUUGUACAGUUCUAGAUGUUCAGUAAAGAUGAUCCUGUUUUAUAACUAUUUGAAAACCCCCUGUUUUGUGAACUAAUAAAGUGAUGUAUUAAUAUCUGAGUCAUGUUGUCUGUUAAAGAGAACACGGACCGCUGUGAGUCGCAGGACAACUGUGAUGAACAGCGCGUCCUGUCGCCUCUGACCAACGAAUAUUGGCCCCCCCCUGUUUUUGUACAAAUUGUCUUGACAAUUCUACAUGUUGGACACAGCAGGUGAUUUACUGCACACUGUCAUGUUAGUGAAUCUCUGACUCUCGUUCUCUCUCCCUCCACUUUCUCUUGGUUACACAUGUUAGUGAAUCUCUGACUCUCGUUCUCUCUCCC
This is a long non-coding RNA of Oncorhynchus tshawytscha (Chinook salmon), 1251 nucleotides long. The record is from Ensembl. Lineage: Eukaryota; Metazoa; Chordata; Actinopteri; Salmoniformes; Salmonidae.